GAUGAAGAACGUAGCGAAAUGCGAUACUUGGUGUGAAUUGCAGAAUCCCGUGAACCAUCGAGUCUUUGAACGCAAGUUGCGCCCGAAGCCAUUAGGCCGAGGGCACGCCUGCCUGGGCGUCACACGUCGUUGCCCCCCCAUCUACUCCUUCGGGAUUGCGGGGGGCGGAUGAUAGCCUCCCGUGCGCCUCGCCGCGCGGUUGGCAUAAAUGCCAAGUCCUCGGCGACGCACGCCACGACAAUCGGUGGUUGCGAAACCUCGGUUGCCCGUCGUGUGCGGUCGUCGCGCAUCGAGGGCUCGAAAAAAUUGCCGGGUUCCGGCUCGGCUUUCAACGCGACCCCAGGUCAGGCGGGGUUACCCGCUGAAUUUAAGCAUAUCAAUAAGCGGAGGA
This 391-nucleotide unclassified non-coding RNA is filed under the name soil metagenome. Its description in RNAcentral is "partial contains 5.8S ribosomal RNA, internal transcribed spacer 2, and large subunit ribosomal RNA". The stretch from base 1 to 122 matches the Rfam family "5.8S ribosomal RNA", at positions 35 to 154 of the family's 154-position model. The record is from RNAcentral.